AGAGUUUGAUCAUGGCUCAGGAUGAACGCUGGCGGCGUGCUUAACACAUGCAAGUCGAACGGAGUAUUGAGAAUGAAGUUUUCGGAUGGAUUUUUUAAUACUUAGUGGCGGACGGGUGAGUAACGCGUGGGUAACCUGCCUCACACAGGGGGAUAACAGUUGGAAACGACUGUUAAUACCGCAUAAGACCACAGUACCGCAUGGUACAGGGGUAAAAACUCCGGUGGUGUGAGAUGGACCCGCGUCUGAUUAGUUAGUUGGCGGGGUAACGGCCCACCAAGACGACGAUCAGUAGCCGAUCUGAGAGGAUGACCGGCCACAUUGGGACUGAGACACGGCCCAAACUCCUACGGGAGGCAGCAGUGGGGAAUAUUGCACAAUGGGGGAAACUCUGAUGCAGCGACGCCGCGUGAGUGAAGAAGUAUUUCGGUAUGUAAAGCUCUAUCAGCAGGGAAGAAAAUGACGGUAUCUGAGUAAGAAGCUCUGGCUAACUACGUGCUAGCAGCUGCGGUAAUACGUAGGGGGCAAGCGUUAUUCGGAUUUACUGGGUGUAAAGGGAGCGCAGACGGCGCAGCAAGUCUGAAGUGAAAGCUCGGGGCUUAACUCCGGGACUGCUUUGGAAACUGCUGUGCUUGAGUAUCGGAGGGGGCAGGCGGAAUUCYCAGUGUAGCGGUGAAAUGCGUAGAUAUUGGGAAGAACACYAGUGGCGAAGGCGGYSUGCUGGACGAUAAUCUGACGUUGAGGGCUCGAAGGGCGUGGGGAGCAAACAGGAUUAGAUACYCUGGUAGUCYACGCGGUAAACGAUGAAUACUAGGUGUUGGCAUCCAAAGGAUGUCGGUGCCGGCGCAAACGCAUUAAGUAUUCCACCUGGGGAGUACGUUCGCAAGAAUGAAACUCAAAGGAAUUGACGGGGACCCGCACAAGCAGUGGAGCAUGUGGUUUAAUUCGAAGCAACGCGAAGAACCUUACCAGGUCUUGACAUGGAGAUGACCGGCUGGUAACGCAGCCUUUCCUUCGGGACAUCUCACACAGGUGGUGCAUGGUUGUCGUCAGCUCGUGUCGUGAGAUGUUGGGUUAAGUCCCGCAACGAGCGCAACCCUUAUUGCCAGUAGCCAGCAGGUGAAGCUGGGCACUCUGGCGAGACUGCCCGGGAUAACCGGGAGGAAGGUGGGGAUGACGUCAAAUCAUCAUGCCCCUUAUGACCUGGGCUACACACGUACUACAAUGGCAAUUAACAAAGAGAAGCAAGACGGUGACGUGGAGCGAAUCUCAAAAAAUUGUCCCAGUUCAGAUUGCGGGCUGCAACUCGCCUGCAUGAAGUCGGAAUUGCUAGUAAUCGCGGAUCAGCAUGCCGCGGUGAAUACGUUCCCGGGCCUUGUACACACCGCCCGUCACACCAUGGGAGUCGGUAACACCCGAAGUCGGUAGUCUAACAGCAAUGAGGACGCCGCCGAAGGUGGGAUUGAUGACUGGGGUGAAGUCGUAACAAGGUAACCGUA
This 1499-nucleotide ribosomal RNA is filed under the name uncultured rumen bacterium. Its description in RNAcentral is "bacterial SSU rRNA". It matches the Rfam family "Bacterial small subunit ribosomal RNA". The record is from RNAcentral.